UAAACGACUCUCGGCAACGGAUAUCUUGGCUCUCGCAUCGAUGAAGAACGUAGCGAAAUGCGAUACUUGGUGUGAAUUGCAGAAUCCCGUGAACCAUCGAGUCUUUGAACGCAAGUUGCGCCCGAAGCCGUCAGGCCGAGGGCACGUCUGCCUGGGCGUCACAC
This 164-nucleotide ribosomal RNA is filed under the name Polylepis quadrijuga. RNAcentral describes it as "5.8S ribosomal RNA". It matches the Rfam family "5.8S ribosomal RNA". From Rfam's summary of the family: 5.8S ribosomal RNA (5.8S rRNA) is a component of the large subunit of the eukaryotic ribosome. It is transcribed by RNA polymerase I as part of the 45S precursor that also contains 18S and 28S rRNA. Functionally, it is thought that 5.8S rRNA may be involved in ribosome translocation. Lineage: Eukaryota; Viridiplantae; Streptophyta; Magnoliopsida; Rosales; Rosaceae. The record is from RNAcentral.